This 267-nucleotide ribosomal RNA is filed under the name uncultured beta proteobacterium UMTRA-603-2. RNAcentral's name for it is "partial 16S ribosomal RNA". It matches the Rfam family "Bacterial small subunit ribosomal RNA", at positions 229 to 488 of the family's 1533-position model. Lineage: Bacteria; Pseudomonadati; Pseudomonadota; Betaproteobacteria. The record is from RNAcentral.
GCCGAUGUCUGAUUAGCUAGUUGGUGAGGUAAAGGCUUACCAAGGCGUCGAUCAGUAGCUGGUCUGAGAGGACGACCAGCCACACUGGGACUGAGACACGGCCCAGACUCCUACGGGAGGCAGCAGUGGGGAAUUUUGGACAAUGGGGGAAACCCUGAUCCAGCCAUGCCGCGUGAGUGAAGAAGGCCUUCGGGUUGUAAAGCUCUUUCAGCCGGAACGAAACGGUCACGGCUAAUACCUGUGAUCACUGACGGUACCGGAAGAAGA